This 487-nucleotide ribosomal RNA is filed under the name Granulicatella adiacens. RNAcentral describes it as "bacterial SSU rRNA". It matches the Rfam family "Bacterial small subunit ribosomal RNA", at positions 28 to 497 of the family's 1533-position model. Lineage: Bacteria; Bacillati; Bacillota; Bacilli; Lactobacillales; Carnobacteriaceae. The record is from RNAcentral.
GACGAACGCUGGCGGCGUGCCUAAUACAUGCAAGUCGAACGAGAGCGACCGGUGCUUGCACUGGUCAAUCUAGUGGCGAACGGGUGAGUAACACGUGGGUAACCUGCCCAUCAGAGGGGGAUAACAUCCGGAAACGGAUGCUAAAACCGCAUAGGUCUUCGAGCCGCAUGGCUUGAAGAGGAAAAGAGGCGCAAGCUUCUGCUGAUGGAUGGACCCGCGGUGCAUUAGCUAGUUGGUGAGGUAACGGCUCACCAAGGCCGUGAUGCAUAGCCGACCUGAGAGGGUGAUCGGCCACAUUGGGACUGAGACACGGCCCAAACUCCUACGGGAGGCAGCAGUAGGGAAUCUUCCGCAAUGGACGCAAGUCUGACGGAGCAACGCCGCGUGAGUGAAGAAGGUUUUCGGAUCGUAAAACUCUGUUGUUAGAGAAGAACAAGUGCUAGAGUAACUGUUAGCACCUUGACGGAUCUAACCAGAAAGCCACGCA